This 428-nucleotide ribosomal RNA is filed under the name uncultured bacterium. Its description in RNAcentral is "partial 16S ribosomal RNA". It matches the Rfam family "Bacterial small subunit ribosomal RNA", at positions 354 to 796 of the family's 1533-position model. The record is from RNAcentral.
GUGGGGAAUAUUGGGCAAUGGGCGAAAGCCUGACCCAGCAACGCCGCGUGAGGGAAGAAGGUUUUCGGAUUGUAAACCUCUGUCCUCAGGGAAGAAAAAAAUGACGGUACCUGAGGAGGAAGCCCCGGCUAACUACGUGCCAGCAGCCGCGGUAAUACGUAGGGGGCGAGCGUUGUCCGGAAUGACUGGGCGUAAAGGGCGCGUAGGCGGCUCCGUAAGUCCGGAGUGAAAGUCCAGCUUUUAAGGUUGGAAUUGCUUUGGAAACUGUGGGGCUUGAGUGCGGAAGAGGUAAGUGGAAUUCCCAGUGUAGCGGUGAAAUGCGUAGAGAUUGGGAGGAACACCAGUGGCGAAGGCGACUUUCUGGACGAUGUCUGACGCUGAGGCGCGAAAGCUAGGGGAGCGAACGGGAUUAGAAACCCCUGUAGUCC